GACGAACGCUGGCGGCGGGCUUAACACAUGCAAGUCGAACGGAAAGGCCCUGAUUUUGUGGGGUGCUCGAGUGGCGAACGGGUGAGUAACACGUGAGUAACCUGCCCUUGACUUUGGGAUAACUUCAGGAAACUGGGGCUAAUACCGGAUAGGAGCUCCUGCUGCAUGGUGGGGGUUGGAAAGUUGCGGCGGUUGGGGAUGGACGCGCGGCUUAUCAGCUUGUUGGUGGGGUAGUGGCUUACCAAGGCUUUGACGGGUAGCCGGCCUGAGAGGGUGACCGGGCACAUGGGGACUAAGAUACGGCCCAGAGUGCUACGGGAGACAGCAGUGGGGAGUAUUGCACAAUGGGAGGAAGUCUGAGGCAGCAACGCCGCGUGCGGGAUGACGGCCUUCGGGUUGUAAACCGCUUUCGCCUGUGACGAAGCGUUAGUGACGGUAAUGGGUAAAGAAGCACCGGCUAACUACGUG
Molecule: ribosomal RNA, 468 nt
Filed under: uncultured bacterium
Lineage: Bacteria
Description: partial 16S ribosomal RNA
Rfam family: Bacterial small subunit ribosomal RNA
Source: RNAcentral